RNAcentral lists this ribosomal RNA (1688 nucleotides) under Salmonella enterica subsp. enterica serovar Enteritidis. Its description in RNAcentral is "partial 23S ribosomal RNA". It matches the Rfam family "Bacterial large subunit ribosomal RNA", at positions 1154 to 2803 of the family's 2925-position model. Lineage: Bacteria; Pseudomonadati; Pseudomonadota; Gammaproteobacteria; Enterobacterales; Enterobacteriaceae. The record is from RNAcentral.
CGUAUCACUUAAAGCGAUUCAGCGGGUUACGAUUGACGGAGCGAAGCGACGUCAAAGCGUAUACAAAGUCGAGUCGGUUUAAGGAUACGUUCGUUGGGUAGGGGAGCGUUCUGUAAGCCUGUGAAGGUGGCCUGUGAGGGUUGCUGGAGGUAUCAGAAGUGCGAAUGCUGACAUAAGUAACGAUAAAGCGGGUGAAAAGCCCGCUCGCCGGAAGACCAAGGGUUCCUGUCCAACGUUAAUCGGGGCAGGGUGAGUCGACCCCUAAGGCGAGGCCGAAAGGCGUAGUCGAUGGGAAACGGGUUAAUAUUCCCGUACUUGGUGUUACUGCGAAGGGGGGACGGAGAAGGCUAUGUUGGCCGGGCGACGGUUGUCCCGGUUUAAGCGUGUAGGCUGGUUUUCCAGGCAAAUCCGGAAAAUCAAGGCUGAGGCGUGAUGACGAGGCACUACGGUGCUGAAGCAACAAAUGCCCUGCUUCCAGGAAAAGCCUCUAAGCAUCAGGUAACAUCAAAUCGUACCCCAAACCGACACAGGUGGUCAGGUAGAGAAUACCAAGGCGCUUGAGAGAACUCGGGUGAAGGAACUAGGCAAAAUGGUGCCGUAACUUCGGGAGAAGGCACGCUGACACGUAGGUGAAGUGAUUUACUCACGGAGCUGAAGUCAGUCGAAGAUACCAGCUGGCUGCAACUGUUUAUUAAAAACACAGCACUGUGCAAACACGAAAGUGGACGUAUACGGUGUGACGCCUGCCCGGUGCCGGAAGGUUAAUUGAUGGGGUCAGCGCAAGCGAAGCUCCUGAUCGAAGCCCCGGUAAACGGCGGCCGUAACUAUAACGGUCCUAAGGUAGCGAAAUUCCUUGUCGGGUAAGUUCCGACCUGCACGAAUGGCGUAAUGAUGGCCAGGCUGUCUCCACCCGAGACUCAGUGAAAUUGAACUCGCUGUGAAGAUGCAGUGUACCCGCGGCAAGACGGAAAGACCCCGUGAACCUUUACUAUAGCUUGACACUGAACAUUGAGCCUUGAUGUGUAGGAUAGGUGGGAGGCUUUGAAGCGUGGACGCCAGUCUGCGUGGAGCCGACCUUGAAAUACCACCCUUUAAUGUUUGAUGUUCUAACGUGGACCCGUUACCCGGGUUGCGGACAGUGUCUGGUGGGUAGUUUGACUGGGGCGGUCUCCUCCUAAAGAGUAACGGAGGAGCACGAAGGUUGGCUAAUCCUGGUCGGACAUCAGGAGGUUAGUGCAAUGGCAUAAGCCAGCUUGACUGCGAGCGUGACGGCGCGAGCAGGUGCGAAAGCAGGUCAUAGUGAUCCGGUGGUUCUGAAUGGAAGGGCCAUCGCUCAACGGAUAAAAGGUACUCCGGGGAUAACAGGCUGAUACCGCCCAAGAGUUCAUAUCGACGGCGGUGUUUGGCACCUCGAUGUCGGCUCAUCACAUCCUGGGGCUGAAGUAGGUCCCAAGGGUAUGGCUGUUCGCCAUUUAAAGUGGUACGCGAGCUGGGUUUAGAACGUCGUGAGACAGUUCGGUCCCUAUCUGCCGUGGGCGCUGGAGAACUGAGGGGGGCUGCUCCUAGUACGAGAGGACCGGAGUGGACGCAUCACUGGUGUUCGGGUUGUCAUGCCAAUGGCACUGCCCGGUAGCUAAAUGCGGAAGAGAUAAGUGCUGAAAGCAUCUAAGCACGAAACUUGCCCCGAG